AACGAACGCUGGCGGCAUGCCUAACACAUGCAAGUCGAACGAGAUCUUCGGGUCUAGUGGCGCACGGGUGCGUAGCGCGUGGGAAUCUGCCCUUUGGUUCGGAAUAACAGUUGGAAACGACUGCUAAUACCGGAUGAUGACGAAAGUCCAAAGAUUUAUCGCCAGAGGAUGAGCCCGCGUAGGAUUAGCUAGUUGGUGUGGUAAAGGCGCACCAAGGCGACGAUCCUUAGCUGGUCUGAGAGGAUGAUCAGCCACACUGGGACUGAGACACGGCCCAGACUCCUACGGGAGGCAGCAGUGGGGAAUAUUGGACAAUGGGCGAAAGCCUGAUCCAGCAAUGCCGCGUGAGUGGUGAAGGCCUUAGGGUUGUAAAGCUCUUUUACCCGAGAUGAUAAUGACAGUACCGGGAGAAUAAGCUCCGGCUAACUCCGUGCCAGCCGCCGCCGUAA
RNAcentral lists this ribosomal RNA (449 nucleotides) under uncultured bacterium. RNAcentral's name for it is "partial 16S ribosomal RNA". It matches the Rfam family "Bacterial small subunit ribosomal RNA", at positions 29 to 523 of the family's 1533-position model. The record is from RNAcentral.